Molecule: transfer RNA, 122 nt
Filed under: Gonium pectorale
Lineage: Eukaryota; Viridiplantae; Chlorophyta; Chlorophyceae; Chlamydomonadales; Volvocaceae
Rfam family: tRNA
About the family: Transfer RNA (tRNA) molecules are approximately 80 nucleotides in length.
Source: Rfam by way of RNAcentral
GGGCUUCUAGCUCAGUGGUAGAGCAGCUGACUGCAGUGCGCACAGGACUCGCUCAUCUGGGAGCAGGUCAUGGAGUGCGGGCAACCAUCAGCAGGACUCCGGUUCAAUCCCGGAGGAGCCCU